RNAcentral lists this non-coding RNA (30 nucleotides) under Rattus norvegicus (Norway rat). Lineage: Eukaryota; Metazoa; Chordata; Mammalia; Rodentia; Muridae. The record is from RNAcentral.
AUUCUCUGCAGAAAAUGAGUUGAUAGUACA